Molecule: ribosomal RNA, 425 nt
Filed under: uncultured bacterium
Lineage: Bacteria
Description: partial 16S ribosomal RNA
Rfam family: Bacterial small subunit ribosomal RNA
Source: RNAcentral
GUGGGGAAUAUUGCACAAUGGGCGAAAGCCUGAUGCAGCGACGCCGCGUGAGCGAUGAAGUAUUUCGGUACGUAAAGCUCUAUCAGCAGGGAAGAUAAUGACGGUACCUGACUAAGAAGCACCGGCUAAAUACGUGCCAGCAGCCGCGGUAAUACGUAUGGUGCAAGCGUUAUCCGGAUUUACUGGGUGUAAAGGGAGCGUAGGCGGCGUGGUAAGUCAGAAGUGAAAGCCCGGGGCUCAACCCCGGGACUGCUUUUGAAACUAUCAUGCUAGAGUGUCGGAGAGGUAAGUGGAAUUCCUAGUGUAGCGGUGAAAUGCGUAGAUAUUAGGAGGAACACCAGUGGCGAAGGCGGCUUCCUGGCACAAUACUGACGCUCAUGUGCGAAAGCUAGGGCAGCGAACGGGAUUAGAAACCCGGGUAGUCC